RNAcentral lists this ribosomal RNA (525 nucleotides) under uncultured bacterium. RNAcentral describes it as "bacterial SSU rRNA". It matches the Rfam family "Bacterial small subunit ribosomal RNA", at positions 984 to 1509 of the family's 1533-position model. The record is from RNAcentral.
ACAUCUAGAGAACUUAGCAGAGAUGCUUUGGUGCCUUCGGGAACUCUGAGACAGGUGCUGCAUGGCUGUCGUCAGCUCGUGUUGUGAAAUGUUGGGUUAAGUCCCGCAACGAGCGCAACCCUUAUCCUUUGUUGCCAGCGGUUCGGCCGGGAACUCAAAGGAGACUGCCGGUGAUAAACCGGAGGAAGGUGGGGAUGACGUCAAGUCAUCAUGGCCCUUACGGCCAGGGCUACACACGUGCUACAAUGGCGCAUACAAAGAGAAGCGACCUCGCGAGAGCAAGCGGACCUCAUAAAGUGCGUCGUAGUCCGGAUUGGAGUCUGCAACUCGACUCCAUGAAGUCGGAAUCGCUAGUAAUCGUAGAUCAGAAUGCUACGGUGAAUACGUUCCCGGGCCUUGUACACACCGCCCGUCACACCAUGGGAGUGGGUUGCAAAAGAAGUAGGUAGCUUAACCUUCGGGAGGGCGCUUACCACUUUGUGAUUCAUGACUGGGGUGAAGUCGUAACAAGGUAAGCGUAGCGAG